GAUGGCAGAGAGGUCACACCCGUUCCCAUACCGAACACGGAAGUUAAGCUCUCUAGCGCCGAUGGUAGUUGGGACCUUGUCCCUGUGAGAGUAGGACGUCGCCAAG
Molecule: ribosomal RNA, 106 nt
Filed under: Bacillus sp. UMTAT18
Lineage: Bacteria; Bacillati; Bacillota; Bacilli; Caryophanales; Bacillaceae
Source: RNAcentral